GCGCGGUUAGCUCAGUGGUAGAGCACCACUUUGACACGGUGGGGGUCACUGGUUCGAACCCAGUAUCGCGCACCA
Molecule: transfer RNA, 75 nt
Filed under: Verrucomicrobiales bacterium
Lineage: Bacteria; Pseudomonadati; Verrucomicrobiota; Verrucomicrobiia; Verrucomicrobiales
Description: tRNA-Val
Rfam family: tRNA
About the family: Transfer RNA (tRNA) molecules are approximately 80 nucleotides in length.
Source: RNAcentral